UACGUAGGGUGCGAGCGUUGUCCGGAAUUACUGGGCGUAAAGAGCUCGUAGGUGGUUUGUCGCGUUGUUCGUGAAAACUCACAGCUUAACUGUGGGCGUGCGGGCGAUACGGGCAGACUGGAGUACUGCAGGGGAGACUGGAAUUCCUGGUGUAGCGGUGGAAUGCGCAGAUAUCAGGAGGAACACCGGUGGCGAAGGCGGGUCUCUGGGCAGUAACUGACGCUGAGGAGCGAAAGCGUGGGGGGCGAACAGG
This 253-nucleotide ribosomal RNA is filed under the name uncultured bacterium. RNAcentral's name for it is "partial 16S ribosomal RNA". It matches the Rfam family "Bacterial small subunit ribosomal RNA", at positions 524 to 776 of the family's 1533-position model. The record is from RNAcentral.